AGUGAACGCUGGCGGUAGGCCUAACACAUGCAAGUCGAACGGCAGCACAGUAAGAGCUUGCUCUUACGGGUGGCGAGUGGCGGACGGGUCAGGAAUACAUCGGAAUCUACUUUUUCGUGGGGGAUAACGUAGGGAAACUUACGCUAAUACCGCAUACGACCUACGGGUGAAAGCAGGGGAUCUUCGGACCUUGCGCGAUUGAAUGAGCCGAUGUCGGAUUAGCUAGUUGGCGGGGUAAAGGCCCACCAAGGCGACGAUCCGUAGCUGGUCUGAGAGGAUGAUCAGCCACACUGGAACUGAGACACGGUCCAGACUCCUACGGGAGGCAGCAGUGGGGAAUAUUGGACAAAGGGCGCAAGCCUGAUCCAGCCAUACCGCGUGGGUGAAGAAGGCCUUCGGGUUGUAAAGCCCUUUUGUUGGGAAAGAAAAGCAGCAGGUUAAUACCCCGCUGUUCUGACGGUACCCAAAGAAUAAGCACCGGCUAACUUCGUG
This 492-nucleotide ribosomal RNA is filed under the name uncultured bacterium. RNAcentral describes it as "partial 16S ribosomal RNA". It matches the Rfam family "Bacterial small subunit ribosomal RNA", at positions 29 to 507 of the family's 1533-position model. The record is from RNAcentral.